This 74-nucleotide transfer RNA is filed under the name Coriobacteriaceae bacterium. Its description in RNAcentral is "tRNA-Gln". It matches the Rfam family "tRNA". From Rfam's summary of the family: Transfer RNA (tRNA) molecules are approximately 80 nucleotides in length. The record is from RNAcentral. RNAcentral also lists the same sequence under 1 other name. Lineage: Bacteria; Bacillati; Actinomycetota; Coriobacteriia; Coriobacteriales; Coriobacteriaceae.
UUCCCGUUAGUUCAACGGCAGAACUCCUGGUUCUGGUCCAGGCGAUCCGUGUUCGAAUCGCGGACGGGAAGCCA